AUGGCCGGAAGGAAGGGCGGCGACAGGAAGAAGGCGGUGACCCGCUCCGUCAAGGCCGGGCUCCAGUUCCCCGUCGGCCGCAUCGGGCGCUACCUGAAGAAGGGCCGCUACGCACAGCGCGUCGGCUCCGGCGCCCCCGUCUACCUCGCCGCCGUCCUCGAGUACCUCGCCGCCGAGGUCCUGGAGCUUGCAGGCAACGCUGCCAAGGACAACAAGAAGACGCGCAUCAUCCCGCGCCACCUGCUUCUUGCCGUCCGCAACGACCAGGAGCUCGGCAGGCUGCUCGCCGGCGUGACCAUCGCCCACGGCGGCGUGAUCCCCAACAUCAACUCCGUGCUGCUCCCCAAGAAGUCCGCCGCCGCCGAGAAGGAGGCCAAGUCGCCCAAGAAGAAGGCCGCCACCAAGUCCCCCAAGAAGAAGGCCGCCGCCGCCAAGGAGUAG
RNAcentral lists this ribosomal RNA (441 nucleotides) under Triticum aestivum (bread wheat). RNAcentral describes it as "partial small subunit ribosomal RNA". Lineage: Eukaryota; Viridiplantae; Streptophyta; Magnoliopsida; Poales; Poaceae. The record is from RNAcentral.